RNAcentral lists this ribosomal RNA (156 nucleotides) under uncultured bacterium. RNAcentral describes it as "partial 16S ribosomal RNA". It matches the Rfam family "Bacterial small subunit ribosomal RNA", at positions 355 to 526 of the family's 1533-position model. The record is from RNAcentral.
UAGGGAAAAUUGCCCAAUGGACGAAAGUCUGAGGCAGCAACGCCGCGUGUGCGAUGAAGGCCUUCGGGUUGUAAAACUCUGUUCUUGGGGAAGAAUAAAUGACGGUACCCAAGGAGAAAGUCCCGGCUAACUACGUGCCAGCAGCCGCGGUAAUAA